RNAcentral lists this long non-coding RNA (1628 nucleotides) under Homo sapiens (human). RNAcentral describes it as "HSALNT0122165". Lineage: Eukaryota; Metazoa; Chordata; Mammalia; Primates; Hominidae. The record is from RNAcentral.
GGGAUCUUCCCCGUUCGCUCAGCACUUCUCCUUCCUGCCGCCUUGUAAAGAAUGUGCCUUGCCUCCUCUUCACCUUCCACCAUGAUCAUUAAGUUUCUUGAGGCCUCCCCAGCCAUGUCUCACGUUAAACUGUGAGUCAAUUAAACCUCUUUCCUUUAUAAAUUACCCAGUCUCUGACAGUUCUUUAUAGCAGGAUGAAAACGGACUAAUAUAAUUGCCUAACUGACCACCUGCUUCCUGUUGACCAACUCCUCUUCCUUAACCCUCGCUAAUUCCUCUUUUCCCACACAUAGUCACAUUUCUUCCCUGCUCUAUAAACCCCGAAUUUUAGCCAGUUGAGGAGACAGAUUGGAGACUGCUCUCUCGUCCUCAUCAGCUGCAGCACCCAGGGCAGAAACAGCGGCUCCCUUCCCACUGUCUCCCAGAGCCUUGCAUGGCGCCCAGUGCAGAGCGGUUCUGGAAUCAGAAUGGGCUGGAGGGAGCAAGUUACACAGAGGCCCCAUGAGAGAAGCCAUCAAUGACUUAAAUAAUGUGCAUUUGCAGAGACCUUCAUCCCCAAACCGUCCCCUCCUGCCUCCUCAAAUUGGGCCCUGCUCACACUUUCAGUCCCACCUGACCCACACAGCCUGGGCUCCACCCACACCAUGUUCUUGCACAUCUCUGAGCUUCUGUUCAUGACACUCUUCUCCUGCAGUGGAAAACUCCUACUCACCCUUAAAGAUCCAGCUUAAAAACCCUCUCCAUCAACCAUCAACCUUCCUCAAAAUCCCCGGAGGAACCUACCUCUCAGCUGCCUCACUCACUGUGCACACUGCAUUUGGGCCUUGCAUAUCUGCCUCUCCAACAAGUCGGGGAACCCUUGGGGGUCAGGCUGUGCCUUGUAUGUCUCUGUGAUCCCCACAGCUCUCAACACAGUGGUGCAAAAACCUUGGCAGAUGAAAUGAUUAAAGACACAACCCAGCCACAACAGUCCCCAAGAGUUGCUGGCAUUCACUCUUCUCACUUACGAGUAGUAGUAUUUUCACGUGACAAAGGGCAUGGACUGUGGCAAAUGUGUACAACCCACACAGGGUUCAGCCAUCAUCUUGCUGUAGUUGCCAACACUUUGUACACACAGUCACACACACACUCAGGAAUAUACACUCACAUGUACCCACAUGCACGCUCAUGAACAUAUGCUCACACAUAUACACACAAAUAUACACAUCCACACACACUUAUACACACACGCAUACUCAUGGCGGCUGCUUCCUAUGAGCGGUCAUUCCCACGUUAAUUCUAAUCACCUGUGACGCCAGUCCAGUCCUGAAGCUGAGCCACAGGGGGCCUUUCAGGGCUAAGGGUUGAUUCCUUCUUCAAGGAGUGAAGCAGGUGGGGUCUUCUGGGUGUGUCCAGAAAGGAAGACCUGUGGACCACAGCUGGGUUUGCCCAGAGAACAGACUCGGGGAUGAGUCCUCCACCCCCAUGAGGCAGGGCUGUGGCUGCACUCCACCACAACCACCAUGGUGACCCGAGUACUAAGGCUGCACCAGACUGACCGCCUGGGCCAGUCACCCUAUUAGAGGACCCCGGCAGCCUUCUGCAUGCCCGAAACUUGCCACAGUCAGGAAGGGACCCGCUCUGGCCAG